AUUGAACGCUGGCGGAAUGCUUUACACAUACAAGUCGAACGGCAGCACGGACUUCGGUCUGGUGGCGAGUGGCGAACGGGUGAGUAAUGUAUCGGAACGUGCCCAGUCGUGGGGGAUAACGUAGUGAAAAUUACGCUAAUACCGCAUACGAUCUAUGGAUGAAAGCGGGGGAUCGCAAGACCUCGCGCGAUUGGAGCGGCCGAUAUCAGAUUAGGUAGUUGGUGGGGUAAAGGCCCACCAAGCCAACGAUCUGUAGCUGAGCUGAGAGGACGACCAGCCAAACUGGAACUGAGAGACGGUCCAGACUCCUACGGGAGGCAGCAGUGGGGAAUUUUGGACAAUGGGCGAAAGCCUGAUCCAGCCAUUCCGCGUGCAGGAUGAAGGCCCUCGGGUUGUAAACUGCUUUUGUACAGAACGAAAAGGUUUCUACUAAUACUAGGAGCUCAUGACGGUACUGUAAGAAUAAGCACCGGCUAACUACGUGCCAGCCGCCGCCGUAA
Molecule: ribosomal RNA, 500 nt
Filed under: uncultured bacterium
Lineage: Bacteria
Description: partial 16S ribosomal RNA
Rfam family: Bacterial small subunit ribosomal RNA
Source: RNAcentral